UUUAAUUGAAUGCUAAAAGAAUGGAAUAUCAAAGAAUAACUUUCUUAAAAUUAAAAAUUGAAAUUUUUUUAAUUUGUGUAAAAACAAUUAUAUAAAUUAAAGACAAGAAGACCCUAAGAAUUUUUAAAAUUUAAAUUAACACAUUUUUGUUUUAAUUAAAUUUUAACUGGGGCGGUUAAAAAAUAUUAAAAACUUUUUAAUUUUGAAAAUGACCCAUUAUUAAUGAAAAUAUGAUAAAAUACUCUAGGGAUAACAGCGUUAUAUUUUUUGAUAGAUCAUAUUGACAAAAAAGUUUGCGACCUCGAUGUUGGAUUAGGAUACUUUUUUAAUGAAGAUAUUAAAAUAAGAAGUUUGUUCAACUUUUAAAUUCCUACUUGAUCUGAGUUCAGACCGGA
Molecule: ribosomal RNA, 395 nt
Filed under: Rhipicephalus microplus (southern cattle tick)
Lineage: Eukaryota; Metazoa; Arthropoda; Arachnida; Ixodida; Ixodidae
Description: partial large subunit ribosomal RNA
Rfam family: Bacterial large subunit ribosomal RNA (bases 249-395)
Source: RNAcentral